This 66-nucleotide non-coding RNA is filed under the name Rubrobacter xylanophilus. Its description in RNAcentral is "Glycine sequence". It matches the Rfam family "Glycine riboswitch aptamer", at positions 7 to 88 of the family's 94-position model. From Rfam's summary of the family: This family represents the bacterial glycine riboswitch. Glycine riboswitches usually consist of two metabolite-binding aptamers domains with similar structures in tandem. The aptamers cooperatively bind glycine to regulate the expression of downstream genes. Lineage: Bacteria; Bacillati; Actinomycetota; Rubrobacteria; Rubrobacterales; Rubrobacteraceae. The record is from RNAcentral. RNAcentral also lists the same sequence under 1 other name.
CGUCCUGGAGAGUCCGGCAGGGGCCGGCGCCGACGGGGUAACACUCUCAGGUUCCGGGACAGGACG